AGCUGAGGGGUUCCACCUGUUCCCAUCCCGAACACAGAAGUUAAGCCCUCAAACGUCGAUGGUACUUGUCUGGAAACGGACCGGGAGAGUAGAUAGUUGCCGGAU
This 105-nucleotide ribosomal RNA is filed under the name Christensenellaceae bacterium. The record is from RNAcentral. Lineage: Bacteria; Bacillati; Bacillota; Clostridia; Christensenellales; Christensenellaceae.